Molecule: ribosomal RNA, 809 nt
Filed under: uncultured bacterium
Lineage: Bacteria
Description: bacterial SSU rRNA
Rfam family: Bacterial small subunit ribosomal RNA
Source: RNAcentral
UCGCACGAGAAAGUGGAGCAUCCAUGAGUACAGUGGCGUACGGGUGAGUAACACGUGGAUCAUCUACCUCUUGGUGGGGAAUAACCCUGGGAAACCGGGGCUAAUACCGCAUAAGCCUGGAAAGGGAAAGCAGCAAUGCGCCGAGAGAGGAGUCCGCGGCCGAUUAGCUCGUUGGCAGGGUAAUGGCCUACCAAGGCAAUGAUCGGUAGCCGGCCUGAGAGGGCACACGGCCACACUGGCACUGAAACACGGGCCAGACUCCUACGGGAGGCAGCAGUGGGGAAUCUUGCACAAUGGGGGAAACCCUGAUGCAGCGACGCCGCGUGAGCGAUGAAGCCCUUCGGGGUGUAAAGCUCUUUCGGCAGGGAAGAUUAUGACGGUACCUGCAGAAGCAGCUGCGGCUAACUACGUGCCAGCAGCCGCGGUAAUACGUAGGCAGCAAGCGUUGUUCGGAGUUACUGGGCGUAAAGGGUGUGUAGGCGGCCUGUUAAGUUCCGUGUGAAAUCUCCCGGCUCAACCGGGAGGGUGCGCGGAAUACUGACGGGCUAGAGUGCGGGAUGGGAGAGUAGAAUUCCUGGUGUAGCGGUGAAAUGCGUAGAUAUCAGGAGGAAUACCGGUGGUGUAGACGGCUCUCUGGACCGCAACUGACGCUGAGACACGAAAGCGUGGGUAGCAAACAGGAUUAGAUACCCUGGUAGUCCACGCCCUAAACGAUGCAUAUUUGGUGUANGUCAUUCAGUUGAUCUGUGCCGGAGCUAACGCGUUAAAUAUGCCGCCCUGGGGAGUACAGUCGCAAGGCUGAAACUCAA